AAAUUGCAACAUUUUCCUCAGUCGGCAAAAGUUUUCGGUGACGAAAUGUUACAAAAUUACUCGUGAUUAUUUCUCCCAUUUUUCAGGGGCGUAACACUUACAACUUUCCAGUUGCAUUGUACAUGUCUGGACAUCCAUCGGAAAGUUCUUCAGAUCCAUUGGGCAAGACAGAAUCAGAGUCAACCUGAGAAGCAAGACAGCAAGAGACACAAAAUGGAGAAAGUGGCUAACCACCUUUCAUCUCUCCCGUUGACCUGCUCUGCCUCCACACCUGAGCACCGCUCGGCCUCGAGCCGUUCCCUAAAUGGACUCAAAAUUGAUCUGCUACAUGUCACAUCAGAGCAGAGAAAAUUGAAUGCGGGGGACCUGUGAAGGGGAAUGACAUGAGAGGAACACGCCUUAAACCACAUCAUCAAAGAUGCCUGACCUGGAGCAGUGGCGACGUAUGAUCUGGAUGUUUGGGUCGGUUGGCAAACAAUCUGUUGUUUCACUCCGUAUGCCUUCAUGCACUAAUAGACACAAGCACUAUUUUUCUAUAGAAGAGCGGAUGGGUUAUAUGCUGCAACAUGUUCAACACAAAAGAUCAUGGUAGGGUUUGAAACACACACUGCCUUGCAUAAACUUCCUGGACUUUUACAUAUAUUACAGUAAAAUGAUU
Molecule: long non-coding RNA, 658 nt
Organism: Labrus bergylta (ballan wrasse)
Lineage: Eukaryota; Metazoa; Chordata; Actinopteri; Labriformes; Labridae
Source: RefSeq, a predicted model, not a curated record